GUGUUCGAGAGUGUCAAGAAAUAAAUAUGUAUUGCACAAGGCAGUGUGGGACUGAGCAGCACAGAAAAGCACUUCACCCAAGGGAGCUGAGGAGGGUAUGGGCAAAAUUUAAUUGCAAGUCUUACCAGGAAAUAGAAAAAUCAGCAAAUACCAGCCACAAACAUGAAUUCUAUUUACCUGUACACUGUUUGGCUUUACUUUAAGAAAAAUAAUAUAGUUUUCUUUACACAUAGUAUUAAU
Molecule: long non-coding RNA, 240 nt
Organism: Xenopus tropicalis (tropical clawed frog)
Lineage: Eukaryota; Metazoa; Chordata; Amphibia; Anura; Pipidae
Exons: 3
Source: RefSeq, a predicted model, not a curated record